RNAcentral lists this ribosomal RNA (495 nucleotides) under Selenomonas sp. oral taxon 140. Its description in RNAcentral is "bacterial SSU rRNA". It matches the Rfam family "Bacterial small subunit ribosomal RNA", at positions 28 to 495 of the family's 1533-position model. The record is from RNAcentral. Lineage: Bacteria; Bacillati; Bacillota; Negativicutes; Selenomonadales; Selenomonadaceae.
GACGAACGCUGGCGGCGUGCUUAACACAUGCAAGUCGAACGGAGCGAAUGAAAGCUUGCUUUUAUAAGCUAGUGGCAAACGGGUGGGUAACACGUAGGCAACCUGCCGACAGGAUGGGGACAACAUUCCGAAAGGAAUGCUAAUACCGAAUGAAGUCAGAGGAGGGCAUCCUCUUCUGAUGAAAGAUGGCCUCUAUAUAUAAGCUAUCACCUGUCGAUGGGCCUGCGUCUGAUUAGCUGGUAGGUGAGGUAACGGCUCACCUAGGCGACGAUCAGUAGCCGGUCUGAGAGGAUGAACGGCCACAUUGGGGCUGAGACACGGCCCAGACUCCUACGGGAGGCAGCAGUGGGGAAUCUUCCGCAAUGGGCGCAAGCCUGACGGAGCAACGCCGCGUGAGUGAAGAAGGUCUUCGGAUCGUAAAGCUCUGUUGAUGGGGACGAACGUGCCUAAUGCGAAUAGUUUUAGGUAAUGACGGUACCCAUCGAGGAAGCCCGG